Molecule: transfer RNA, 77 nt
Filed under: Methylococcus sp.
Lineage: Bacteria; Pseudomonadati; Pseudomonadota; Gammaproteobacteria; Methylococcales; Methylococcaceae
Also listed under: 7 other names
Description: tRNA-Val
Rfam family: tRNA
About the family: Transfer RNA (tRNA) molecules are approximately 80 nucleotides in length. Their secondary structure includes four short double-helical elements and three loops (D, anti-codon, and T loops).
Source: RNAcentral
AGGCGCGUAGCUCAGUUGGUUAGAGCACCACCUUGACAUGGUGGGGGUCGUUGGUUCGAGUCCGAUCGCGCCUACCA